RNAcentral lists this ribosomal RNA (464 nucleotides) under Vreelandella stevensii. RNAcentral's name for it is "partial 16S ribosomal RNA". It matches the Rfam family "Bacterial small subunit ribosomal RNA", at positions 339 to 795 of the family's 1533-position model. The record is from RNAcentral. Lineage: Bacteria; Pseudomonadati; Pseudomonadota; Gammaproteobacteria; Oceanospirillales; Halomonadaceae.
CUACGGGUGGCAGCAGUGGGGAAUAUUGGACAAUGGGCGAAAGCCUGAUCCAGCCAUGCCGCGUGUGUGAAGAAGGCCUUCGGGUUGUAAAGCACUUUCAGUGGGGAAGAAAGCCUUGGGGCUAAUACCCUCGAGGAAGGACAUCACCCACAGAAGAAGCACCGGCUAACUCCGUGCCAGCAGCCGCGGUAAUACGGAGGGUGCGAGCGUUAAUCGGAAUUACUGGGCGUAAAGCGCGCGUAGGCGGUCUGAUAAGCCGGUUGUGAAAGCCCCGGGCUCAACCUGGGAACGGCAUCCGGAACUGUCAGGCUAGAGUGCAGGAGAGGAAGGUAGAAUUCCCGGUGUAGCAGUGAAAUGCGUAGAGAUCGGGAGGAAUACCAGUGGCGAAGGCGGCCUUCUGGACCGACACUGACGCUGAGGUGCGAAAGCGUGGGUAGCAAACAGGAUUAGAUACCCCAGUAGUC